RNAcentral lists this ribosomal RNA (434 nucleotides) under uncultured bacterium. RNAcentral's name for it is "bacterial SSU rRNA". It matches the Rfam family "Bacterial small subunit ribosomal RNA", at positions 954 to 1392 of the family's 1533-position model. The record is from RNAcentral.
GCUUAACGCGAAGAACCUUACCUAGACUUGACAUCUCCUGAAUUACCCUUAACCGGGGAAGCCCUUCGGGGCAGGAAGACAGGUGGUGCAUGGUUGUCGUCAGCUCGUGUCGUGAGAUGUUGGGUUAAGUCCCGCAACGAGCGCAACCCUUAUCAUUAGUUGCUACCAUUAAGUUGAGCACUCUAGUGAGACUGCCACGGUUAACGUGGAGGAAGGUGGGGAUGACGUCAAAUCAUCAUGCCCCUUAUGUCUAGGGCUACACACGUGCUACAAUGGUGAAUACAAAGAGAUGCAAUACCGCGAGGUGGAGCCAAACUCAAAAAUUCAUCCCAGUUCGGAUUGUAGGCUGAAACUCGCCUACAUGAAGCCGGAGUUGCUAGUAAUCGCGAAUCAGCAUGUCGCGGUGAAUACGUUCCCGGGUCUUGUACACACCG